RNAcentral lists this ribosomal RNA (459 nucleotides) under uncultured bacterium. RNAcentral's name for it is "partial 16S ribosomal RNA". It matches the Rfam family "Bacterial small subunit ribosomal RNA", at positions 338 to 795 of the family's 1533-position model. The record is from RNAcentral.
CCUACGGGAGGCAGCAGUGAGGAAUAUUGGUCAAUGGGCGGAAGCCUGAACCAGCCAAGCCGCGUGAGGGAUGAAGGUACAGAGUAUCGUAAACCUCUUUUGUCAGGGAACAAAGGCGGGGACGCGUCCCCGGAUGAGUGUACCUGAAGAAAAAGCAUCGGCUAACUCCGUGCCAGCAGCCGCGGUCAUACGGAGGAUGCGAGCGUUAUCCGGAUUUAUUGGGUUUAAGGGGUGCGCAGGCGGUCUGUUAAGUCAGCGGUCAAAGCCCGGGGCUCAACCCCGGCCCGCCGUUGAAACUGGCAGUCUCGAGUUGGAGAGAAGUAUGCGGAAUGCGCGGUGUAGCGGUGAAAUGCAUAGAUAUCGCGCAGAACUCCGAUUGCGAAGGCAGCAUGCCGGCUCCACACUGACGCUGAGGCACGAAAGCGUGGGUAUCGAACAGGAUUAGAUACCCUGGUAGUC